GACGAACGCUGGCGGCGUGCCUAAUACAUGCAAGUCGAACGCAUUUUCUUUCACCGUAGCUUGCUACACCGAAAGAAAAUGAGUGGCGAACGGGUGAGUAACACGUGGGUAACCUGCCCAUCAGCGGGGGAUAACACUUGGAAACAGGUGCUAAUACCGCAUAAUUCCAUUUACCGCAUGGUAAAUGGAUGAAAGGCGCUUUUGCGUCACUGAUGGAUGGACCCGCGGUGCAUUAGCUAGUUGGUGGGGUAACGGCCUACCAAGGCUGCGAUGCAUAGCCGACCUGAGAGGGUGAUCGGCCACACUGGGACUGAGACACGGCCCAGACUCCUACGGGAGGCAGCAGUAGGGAAUCUUCGGCAAUGGACGCAAGUCUGACCGAGCAACGCCGCGUGAUUGAAGAAGGGUUUCGGAUCGUAAAACUCUGUUGUUAGAGAAGAACAAGGAUGAGAGUGGAAAGUUCAUCCCUUGACGGUAGCUAACCAGAAAGCCACGGCUAACUACGUG
Molecule: ribosomal RNA, 507 nt
Filed under: uncultured bacterium
Lineage: Bacteria
Description: partial 16S ribosomal RNA
Rfam family: Bacterial small subunit ribosomal RNA
Source: RNAcentral